GUGGCUUUCUCAUUGCUGGCUUUUGCUGAAUCACUAUGGUUUACCCCAAGAGUGAGGUGAUAAGUAGAUAUUUUUUCAAUGAGUAUUAUCGUUAAGCCUUAGACUACAGCUCAGAUUCAUCGAAUAUGCUUGUGCGCUUUAUAAGCACUUCAUUGUGCUCUUUGGUGUCUUAAGGAGCCUUGGAUAUCUGCUUUCAGCUUCUUCUGCUUAAGCCACCGUGAGUCGUGUGACCGGAUACAGGAACAGUAGGCAUACAACUAGGAAUAAUGGGUGUUGUAUAAAGUUGUAAGACUUUCAGCUUAAAGCACCGCAAAUUCCAUAGCUCUGAAGAAAAAUGAUAUGACCGUAAACCGAGCAAGGAACGAAUAUUUGGAAAAGGUAUUUGCAUAGAAAAUGAUUGGGCUUUGACAUUGUAAGCUUUUGAUCUGUUCUCAAACUAGGUGCACAUAAUGCUAUGCUUAUUUGAAGGCAUCACAAUUGGUACUCUAAAGUCUGAGAGAGACUCUAUAGUUCCUUCGUCAAGCUUCCCAAGUUUAUUCCUUCUCCAAGUUAUUAGUUAUUUUCCUAUAUAUUAUCAUUUUAAGUUCCACUCUUUUU
Molecule: long non-coding RNA, 597 nt
Organism: Brassica oleracea var. oleracea
Lineage: Eukaryota; Viridiplantae; Streptophyta; Magnoliopsida; Brassicales; Brassicaceae
Exons: 3
Source: RefSeq, a predicted model, not a curated record